GGCUCGGUGGUGGGUGGCCCAUAUCUGCAUUCCAUUACCAUUUCAUCGGCAGUUUAUGUAGAAGGAGCUCGUUCGAUUCGGGCCUGAGCCA
This is a non-coding RNA of Mycena latifolia, 91 nucleotides long. NCBI's taxonomy places the organism in Eukaryota, Fungi, Basidiomycota, Agaricomycetes, Agaricales, Mycenaceae. The record is from the annotation of a GenBank genome assembly.